UACAGAGGGUGCGAGCGUUAAUCGGAAUUACUGGGCGUAAAGCGUGCGUAGACGGUUAUUUAAGUCAGGUGUGAAAGCCCCGGGCUCAACCUGGGAAUUGCAUUUGAGACUGAAUAGCUAGGGUGCGGAAGAGGGAAGCGGAAUUUCCGGUGUAGCGGUGAAAUGCGUAGAUAUCAGAAGGAACAUCAGUGGCGAAAGCGACUUCCUGGACCAGAACUGACGAUCAGGCACGAAAGCGUGGGGAGCAAACAGG
RNAcentral lists this ribosomal RNA (253 nucleotides) under uncultured bacterium. RNAcentral describes it as "partial 16S ribosomal RNA". It matches the Rfam family "Bacterial small subunit ribosomal RNA", at positions 524 to 776 of the family's 1533-position model. The record is from RNAcentral.